RNAcentral lists this ribosomal RNA (479 nucleotides) under uncultured bacterium. RNAcentral's name for it is "partial 16S ribosomal RNA". It matches the Rfam family "Bacterial small subunit ribosomal RNA", at positions 28 to 507 of the family's 1533-position model. The record is from RNAcentral.
GAUGAACGCUGGCGGCGUGCUUAACACAUGCAAGUCGAACGAAGCACUUUAACCUGAUUCUUCGGAUGAAGGUUUUUGUGCCUGAGUGGCGGACGGGUGAGUAACGCGUGGGUAACCUGCCUCAUACAGGGGGAUAACAGUUAGAAAUGACUGCUAAUACCGCAUAAGACCACAGAGCCGCAUGGCUCGGUGGGAAAAACUCCGGUGGUAUGAGAUGGACCCGCGUCUGAUUAGGUAGUUGGUGGGGUAACGGCCUACCAAGCCAACGAUCAGUAGCCGAGCUGAGAGGGUGACCGGCCACAUUGGGACUGAGACACGGCCCAAACUCCUACGGGAGGCAGCAGUGGGGAAUAUUGCACAAUGGGGGAAACCCUGAUGCAGCGACGCCGCGUGAGCGAAGAAGUAUUUCGGUAUGUAAAGCUCUAUCAGCAGGGAAGAAAAUGACGGUACCUGACUAAGAAGCACCGGCUAAAUACGUG